GGACUACCGGGGUAUCUAAUCCCGUUCGCUCCCCAGGCUUUCGUGCCUCAGCGUCAGUUGCGGCCCAGAAGGUCGCCUUCGCCACCGGUGUUCUUCCGAAUAUCUACGCAUUUCACCGCUACACUCGGAAUUCCACCUUCCCCUACCGCACUCAAGCUGCCCAGUUUCCAGUGCACCACAGGGGUUGAGCCCCUAGCUUUAACACCAGACUUAAACAGCCGCCUACGCACGCUUUACGCCCAAUAAAUCCGAAUAACGCUCGCAUCCUACGUCUUACCGCGGCUGCUGGCAC
RNAcentral lists this ribosomal RNA (292 nucleotides) under uncultured bacterium. RNAcentral's name for it is "partial 16S ribosomal RNA". The record is from RNAcentral.